ACUUCAGAGAAAAGAUUGUCAGAGAGGCAUUCCCUUCACCGCAUACCCCAGACCUGCAAACUUCCUGCAUCCCACUCCUCCUCCUUCCCUUGGUUUGGCACAGACGGACUCCCCAGACUCAUCUCCCCACCAAGUUCCCAACGCUUUCUCUCUAGUCCCUUUUCUCUCCUCUUGGUCUUCAAUGCCUCCCUCUCCAGCAGCUUCUUCUUAUCAGCAUCAAAUACGCUCAAACUGCUCUAAUCAUAAAAGUGAAUAGUAACAGGUACUGCUUUUUAGUGUGUGUUAAGUACUUUUACAGGCGCCAUCUCAUCUAACCUUCACACAAACCCUGUGAGGCAGGUAUUGUCAUCAUCAUCCUCAUUUCACAGAGGAGGAAACUGAGGCACAAAGUUAAGUGACUUGCCAAAGGUUUCACAGUGGUGAGGACUGCAGUGAGUAAGGGUGGGGACUUCAGAACCCAGAGCCUGUCUUCUAACCACACACUUGCUUUAAAAGGCUCCUCACCCUCAUCCCAAAUUCUUCUCCCGCAUCUACACUCUCUCCUCACUUUAAAGGAACUUCCAGAAAGGACUGUCUCCACAGGCACUCUGCUUCCUCACUGGAAUCUCCCCAAGGUUCUCAAAGUGGAGGUGGCCAAAUGCCCUGGGCCCGUCCCAGUUUCUAUCCAGCCAGCCCUCUGGCCAGCACCUGACAGGAGUCUUGGCCCCUCCUUACGGAAUCCCUUCCUUUUCGCAUCCCCUCGUGUCCCCUGCCCCCUUCUCUGCUCCUUAUCGUCUCCUUGACCCCCUUCUCUUCCACCCUGAACCUCCAUCGGUCCCAUCUUUGUGGCUCCGCCCUCUGGGGGCUCUGCACACGCGGAGUCUCUGCGCCGCGUACCCCCAUCUCCCCAGCCUUCCACUUUCUCCGUGGGCCGCCCUCAGGAUGGGGUUAGGCACCUGGCUUUGCGAUCCCAUUGCGUCCCACAACACGAGCACAGCCCCCUCCCACCCGGCUCGGUGAUUCUGGGUUGCCUGUUUGUGGCCCUCAACCCGGUUUGUGCGGCCCGAGGGUAGGUGACCGUCGUCUCGCCACCGCCAUAUAUCCAGUUGCCUGCGCAACGCUGGGAGCAGAGCAGCGCCCGCGACUAUACAAGGAUGUGCGAACCCGGGGUACCCCGGCGGCUGCGGCAGGGAGUUCGGGGCCGGGCUCCGCAGGCGCGGAUUCCAGGGCCCUGGCUGCGCGCGAGGGAGGCCGCGCUUGGGGAGCCCCCGGCCGAGCAAGCAGGAGCUGGCGCGUCCCAGGCGGGGAGCGCGGGGGGCGGGGGCCGGGGAGCCGCCCGCAGUCCCG
This 1326-nucleotide long non-coding RNA is filed under the name Equus asinus (donkey). RNAcentral's name for it is "lncRNA (ENSEASG00005027636.1)". The record is from RNAcentral. Lineage: Eukaryota; Metazoa; Chordata; Mammalia; Perissodactyla; Equidae.